CGACCAGCAAGCCAGCAGCCCCAGCCCGCACUGGUCUCACCUUUAUUCUCUCGAUGGAGGCCUCCAGCCGCAGCUGCUGCACGGUCCUCCGGGCCUGGGCUAUGUUGUUGGUGCUGGUGGUCUUGCUGGACAUCUUUAAGAAGCCUUCUUCCCUAAAAUCUAAGGAGAAUGUUUUUGUUAUAGGCCACCACUGCCGAGCACUCCAGAGGCUACGAAGGAUGGAGUGAGGAGCAGGACCCGCCAUGCUCCUCCUCCUUCUCCCAAGCACCCUGUGGGUGUCGCCCCAUGGCCAGGGCCACCUCCUGAUCCCCGGAGUCUCAGCACCAGGCAGAGCCCUGGCUGGGAGAGGUGUGGAAGAGACCAGGCCAGGCCGCUGCUGGGAGCCGCUGGCGUCCACUUGGAGCCAAGAGAACAGAAAAGAGGAGCAGGCAGGUGCCCGCAACACAGCCGGCAGCAGCCGAGCACGGUGGGCAAGGCACUCUGGGGGUCUCACCUCUGAAUGCAGUGGUGAAGGUGAUAUGCUUCCAUGAGUUUGGACAACUGUUGCCGAGGCUGAGCACUCAGUCUGUGCUAGAAAGCGUCAGGAUGCCUGACCAUCCUGCCCGUGCCCUGCCCGAUGACAUCCCUGCACGACAGUGCUCUGUUCUUCAGGACCAGGGGCUCAGGGCUCUGAGGGGCGGAGCCAACGAGGGCUUCCGCUCCCAGCACGACACUCAGGAGCCCGAGGGGCCACCAGCUCUGAGCCUCAGCUUCUUCAUCUGUAAAAUGGGAAAGGCAACCACAGGCUCUGCCUCAAAGCGCUACAUCCACGAUGACCCGAGAGGACUGUGGAAGAUAGCAGCACGUACUGGACACAGUCUUGGCUCACAACUCUGACCAACGCACUCCACAUUCAGCCUUGACCUCUGACCUCUACUCCAGUGUCCAAAGCCAGGCCCACUUGAGUGGACACUUGAGCGAUCCGCCUUCCCAGCUCUCCUCCACUAGCCCCUCUGCCACACUGCCCUGCCAUGGAACAGCUGACCAUGGACUGAACCCUCUACAGACUUUGAGUCAAAAUAAACCUCUCUUCAUUUACAUCAUGGCUGUCAGGUGUCUUCCCCCAGCAACCUGGAAAGUGCCUGAGACACCAGUGAAGCACCACAAUCUGUCCCUGGCCUUUCUGAUGUCCUUUCUUAAGGAGCGACACCAUUCCGUCCUGACGACCAAGACGUCAACCCUCUUUCUGACUCCUAGACCCAGAGUGGCCUGAUAUGAAUGAGACGGGACUUCUAGGGACUUCUAGUGGCCACACAAAAGGGAAGAGGAAAAUGGAAAUUAACUUUAAUGCAGUUGAUUUAGCUCCGUGGGGGAGAGUUUAUGUUUUUGGCACUGGACCUUUGAACCUGGUGUUCUGCGCAUCUCGGUUUGCAGGAGCCACGGCCCAGAGCUGCACCAGACACCAACUGCUCACCACCAGUUCCCUUUCUGCUUGUUCCUCAGAAAGGCUGGCUCCCAGAGUCCCCGGGCUUUCCCAGGAUUCCCGGAGAAGAGUCCAAAGGGCCUGGCCCUGUGCUCCAGCCUCUCUUGGUGCUUCUGCCUGGGUGAUAAAGAUCCUAAUUACAAAAGCAGCUUAUCUCUACAAAGAGGUUAAACGCCAGAUACCAGCCACAGGCCAAGGAGCAGAUGGCAUAUCUCGCACCCUCAGGAGACCCUGCGGGGCAGGCUGGACCUUCACCCCCACCUUACAAAGGAGAAACUGAGGCCACAGGAGGACACGCCCAGGGUCAAGCAGUUGGCAAGCUGCCGGCCAGGGCUCUGGGCCUCCUGACAUUUAUGCACAGUGAUCGGUCCCUUUCACGGACUCCUGUUCUCUGCCUGUGACCUGCGGUCCAACGGCUCCGGGAUGCACAGGACAGGCGGGUUGUCUGCAGACUCCCUGAAAUUGUGUGCAGUUUGGCAUGGGCGCCUGUGUUUUCUGCCUGUUUUGUUCCUGACAGGGGUAAGCUGUUAUCAAACUCUCGGGAAGAACUGCAGCAUUGUGUAUUUCAGGCUCCUUUGCUAUGGAAGGCCAGUUGUUAUGUAACUGACUGUAAAUGUUGUCUUCCGACUAACCUGUUUGCCUGGUAUCAUAGAAAUUAUAUUUCUUCAUUUGUUACUAUGUGCUGCUAUCACAGCAAGUACCACAGCAAGUAUCUAUUAUGCUCUGCACCCCAAAGAGGUUGGAUUUAUCAUACAUAGUGAGACCAAAGUGCAGAAAGAUUACAUAUUUUGCCCAAGAUUGGCCAGCUGUUAAGUGGUAGAAACAUUUUUCUUUUUUUGAGACAAGGUCUUGCUGUGCAGUUCAGGCUGGCCUUGAACUUGUCUUGGAGCCCAGGCUGGCCUUGAACUUGCAGCAGUCUUCCUGCCUCAGCCUCCCGAGUGCUGGGAUUACAGGUGUGUGCCACCUCACCUGGUCAGAGAUAGGGUUUUAAUCCAAAUUUCCCUGACUUCAAAGCUGGGCCCUGACCUAGCAGGUGAAGUAGCCCUGGUGCCCUUCUCUCAGUUCAGCUAAUGCCAAGAAUGAGGCCUCUGUGGGUACCCAGUGAGGUGCAGACACAUGAUGUUGCCACCUGCAGGGCAGCUGUUGGGGAACACAGGGGUCCCAGGGGCGUCACCUCAGCCCCAGGGUGCAACGUGCUGCUCCUCCCUGAGGCCUCCUGCAGAAUACCUACUGCUCAGCUCAUGAAAUCCGCCUGCUUGGCUGUGGGCGCAGCUGGGAGACUCUGGGCCGAAUUCCUGGGGCUCCCGUGCACCAGAUCAGGCCCAGUGCCGACCCUGUGAACCCCAUCUCCCGUGUGUGGCCACGUGUGUGGCGCCAGGUUCUGAGGGCCACGUGUGUUAUUGCUUAACUAGCCCUCCUUUUCCCCCCAUUAAUUAGCUUUCGAAUGCUAAGGGAGGAAUGGAAGCCCACAAUCAACAUCUCAGAAGUCCAGGAAUCCAUGAUAAAGACUGUCCUUGAACCCAGGCAGUCACCAGGACCGGCUUCCCUCUUGGACAUCCGUGUGUAGCAUGCGAGUGUGCGCGGACCUGACCUUGGACGUGCAUGCGGAGCGUGCUGCCCACACUGCUGUGAGCCCUGUUUAUUCCGCCCAACGCUCGGUGCUGCUGAGCCUGUUCCAGUUGGUGCUCAGUGCUAAGUCCACUUUCCGGCUGGCACGCAGGAGCUCCAGAGGCCCGCAGCCAGGGAGGACAGGAGGCUGGAUGUGUCCUCCCUGCUCCCGCGUGCACCCGGAAGCUCGUGAGGUGGAGGAGAGGGGCCUGAGUGGAGAAGCAGAAGAGGAAAGCUUGUGCUACCAGGGACUUGCAGGAUGGUGACAGCGAGAAGUAGGGGUGCCCGGGACCCGGCCCCCGCGCCCUGGGCUGUGAUCCCAGGGACGGCCUCCCCCAGUAACAGGGCUCUAGGCCGCUGUCACAACCACAGCAGCAACCCCAGCACCUCGAGGGACCUCUUAAGAGACACCACUUGGAACCGAGCCAGGCCCUGAAUCAGAAACUGGGUGGCCCCAGGCGGUUCUGCCUCUUCCACUCCUGUUGAUUUCAGUGAAGGUCAUUUCCCUUGUUUUUUGCUUUCUGAGACAGGGUCUCAGUAUGUAGUUCAGGUUGCCCUUGAACUCAUGGCAAUCCUCCUGCCUCAGCCUCCUGACUGCUGGGAUUAAUGCUGAGCUUCUAACUCAUUUUCUAUUUAAAUUGACUAGAAUUCUCCCUCUAACAGCAGUCUAACAACUUUUUUAAAGUAAUGAGGGAACAUGUGGAAGGGGAGACGAAGGCAAGCCCCUGAAGUCCCCGACCUCAUCGGCAGCACCAGCACAGUUUAAAUCACGUGGGACCCAAAAGGGACACUUGUACCAUCACCCACUGUGUUUCGGAUACCACAGAACAUGUCCAGUUCUUCUAAGAGUGACGUAAAGUUUCUCAGAAGUAUCAGUUAAUUCAAUAGCAUUAAUUUAAAAAAAAUGAGUUAUGGAACUUUUAAGAAGGACUGUUGGGACCAACAAAGCAUCAGAAAACAUCGCUUAAAGCCACCAGAGGGGGAUUCCUAUGUAAACAUGCAGCGGGUCACCCCGGACAGGUCACUGGCUAAGUGCUCACUGAAUUUCACAAACAUGACCAUGGAAUCUGACAGAGGGGAGGGUUCCUGUCUGCAAGCCCCAGGAAGGAAUUUCUACAGGACUUUCAGCUCCAGAUUUUCCAGGCCAGACCAAUUUUAGGAGUUCUGCGGCGCCUCUCACUGCAGGUGCCUUAACUAGACCAUGAGCCCCACGAGCUGGCCUUCAACCGUGGGCACCAACUGCUCGAAAACACUCACACCUACCUCGCCCAUCUUUCCUUAAAUUGACUUCUCUGUCCGGUGGGGGCGCCCACCUGAGGUUACAUAUCUUUACACCUUCCACAGGCCACACACACGAUGUCUUUGCCUUUUUCUUGGGGCUGGGGCACAAUACGGGACGCCCACAACUAAAAGCAGAGGUUCAUUUUGGCUCCCAGUGUGUAGGUUCAGUCCAUGGUCAGCGGCUCCUCUGCAGGGUGGCACUGCAGGGUGGCGCUGCAGAGGGGCUGGCAGAGGAGUUGCUGGAGGCACAGCAUACAGGAAGCAGAGGGGGGCGGAGCCAGGGAGGGAGACGAACCCUUCCAGGCGCCGCCCCCAGUGACGCUCCUUCCCAAGGCCCCGCCCCUUCCCAAGGCCCCGCCCCCAGCGACACCUCCUCCCACCGGAAGCUACUUUGUAACAGCAAGUCAGUUCUAAGCCCCCAGAAUCCGAUCACCUUUUCAAAGCCCCAUCUUUGGGCAUAGGCUCUGGGGGGCCGCGAUACAGCCCCGCACACAACGUAAAUCACGCAGACCCUCACGGAAAGAGCUCCACCGUUCCUUGCAGCUCAGCUCGUUCAGGGCUGUGGACAGAGCAGGAACUCAGUCACUAGCACCUAAUGCGAUCAGCUGAUGGCACUGUACUUGAGGUGAGCCGCGACACAGGCCCGGCGCAGUCUGCAAAAGCCGGAAUUUCUGACGCGAAUUGGGACACUUAAAGAAUACUUUCCCAAAUGCACUGCACACCACCGCGGUGAAGUCGUGGAAACCGCUCAUUUAGCUCGGGGAAGCAGGAGCAGGUUCAGGGCCUAACCUCUGGGCCCCGCUGCCGUGCGCUGAGCAGAGCGAUCCUGGGCUCCUUGCACGGAGGCCCUGAGCAGGUCACACAAAUUCAACCGCGCUUCAGCAACAGCAGGACCUAUCUCCUCAUUCCCCGUGCAGUCGAUGACCGCGUGCCAGCAUGGGUGGGUCCCGGAGAGCGAUCGCAGCAGAUCAGCGUUUGCUGGCCAGGACCAAGUGGCAACUUCAGAGGGUCAAAGCGGGGUCUACCAGAAGUCCGUCCUGGGCCUCUCAGAAGCGCACGUUCACAGCACACAAUGGUCGUCAAAACAGGUGCAGGAUGUUUGUGUUAACCAGAGGUAAUGAGGUUGAUUUUCACAGACUGCAUGAAUACAUGCGUGCACCUCUUCUAAACCGCCUUUCCCUGUUGGGGUCAGCAUUUACAGACCAGCAGAUCCGGGGUGCACAGGACCCCUGGGGGCUUGAGGGGAUUCAUCACUGAGCAUCACUGCAGUGGCUGUGGAAACACACCUGAUUUUCAUGCCUACAUGCUGGCCUGUGUCUAAACUUCACCUCCGCCCUGGGAAUUCUGCUCUGACGGUGCUUCAUGGCCGUUUGUUGGUAAUGUGGUUACUUGUGUGCUUCUUUUCUUGUAUCUCCCACCCAACUUGAGCUAAUGGAAGACAAAGAUAGGCUAGUGCUACCUGUAAUCCCAGCACUCAGGAGGCUGAGGCAGGAGGAUCACCACGAGUCCAAGGCCAGUGUGGGCUACAUAGUGAGUUCAAGGCCAGCCUGAACUACCUUCUGAGACCCUGUCUCAAAAACAAAACAGAAAAGAUAGUCCAGUGCUCGCCUACUGUCGGACACUCGUUGGCAGCGGUCAGCACUCACACAUUAACAAGUGAGAGUGCAGAGUCUGCACACCUGUUCUGUUUUUAAUUUUUAUCGAGUUCAUGUUUGCAGCACACAAUGACUACAUUCACUGUGGAGAGUUGGUAUCGGACAUAACGAAUCUUAAUUGGGUUUCUCUUUAUGAGAAUCCCAAAUAUAAACAGUGAAGUAACAGAGAGGGGAUGGGAAACGGGGAGAGAGAUCUCCUCCAAAUGGGACAGAAGCUGCUUCGGGAUGAAUGGGGGCUGAAGACGGGGAAGCAGAGCUGCUGGUGGUUUAGCCGAGGCUGGGAUCCCGGAGGUUGGGCGUGGGAAAGGAAGAGCAGAAGUCUGCACCCCAUGCAACCCCCAGUGCCAACACCACACACCAGGGCUGGCUUGGGGCACUGGCUGCCGGCCUCAGUCCCCGUUUCUUGUCUGAGUCAGAGCUUCCUUCUCCCUGCAGAUCCCUGCAGCCCGGCAGCCACCAGCAGCCAUGCUACUCAGCCCCAUUUGGGGAGCCAGCUCAAAGUGUGUGCAUUUUCUUCUUCUUUUUUAAAUAGCCAAAGAAAUAUGUUGCAAAAUUCCAACUACAUAUGCAUUGUAAAUAGGAUAAAAAGUGAGAAUUCUCUGAUUUCACUCCCGUAGUCUUUUUUAUUUUACUGACCUUUAGACAGAGACAUUAUCUGCAUGGAUAGGGGUUUUUAAUCAGGUAGGAUCAUAUUUCACAGAGUUCUGCAAAUUGCAGCUUUAAAAAAAUUUUAGUUUUGAGACAAGGUCUCGCUAUGUAGCCCAGACUGGCCUCAAACUCACAGCAAUUCUCCUGCCUCAGCAUCCCAAGUGCUGGGAUUAUAGGCGUGCACCACCACGCCUGGCCGGAAAUUGCAUUUUUCAUCAACAAUAAACAUAUCAUGUGCAACCAGGCUUGCCUGGGCAGAGGACUGGUGUAUUUUUCUGAUUUUAAUUUCCCAUUUUGAGGCAUGUAAAAUUUAUAGAAAAGCAAAAUUGCAAGGUAACACAUGCCCCAGGUGUGUUCUGAAAACUGGUGCAUUCUUAGCUCAGAGCAUGCAGAGGAGGGAGAGGAAACCUCAGCACCUGGCUGGACUUUGCAGCCAGAGGCCCAGGUGGCUGCCCCAGUGCUCCCCUGAACCCCUCCCCGACAGUCCUGGGGACAGGUGGCCCUGGCCGGGGUGCACAGUUUGGCCUCCUGCAAGUGCAGGUCCAGUGUCUGCCAGGGCCAGACCUCGGGCUCCUCUCCCACCAUCCGCUCUUUGCAGACUCUUGGGGCCACCCCCACAUGUGGCCAAGCCCGAUAGCACCCUGUCCCCAGGAGUGCAGGACCCAGCCUAGAUUGGGCUGCUAUCUUCGGCCACCAGGUGAGGAGGGAGGGGGAGGCUAGGGUGUGACCCUCGGGCAUUUUCUCAGGGUCCAGGAAACUGAACUGUGGCUGCAGCCAGUGCCUCCGCUGCAGUGGGGUCUUUCCUCCCUCUGUGCAAGGGGAACGAGGAGCAUUUUCCUAUGUGUCCCGAGGUUCUCGGUUACUCUCCAAUCCUGUGGGUGUGCAGGGCAUGCACACUGGACUGUUGUCCCACUGCAGACGGGGUUGGAGGCAGCUGUGUCAUUUCCCUAGGGAGCAGCAGGCACGGAUGGGAGCCGGGCACUGUAGCUCCAAAGCCCACGAAGCCCGCAGGUGCUCCCUGCCUGCUCAGAGUGGGUGCUCUUUGUCAGAGCGGAUCCCCCAGCAGGUGUGCAGGAAGGAACAAGCCGCCCACAGCCGCAGAUAAGCGGCCCCGUUCCCGCAGGAGUUCAUUUGUGACCCGUGAGAGGCACGCGGUGUGCAGCACCUCCCCAUUCUCGGGGCUCAGAGGAAAGUCUCCCGAGCAGCUUCUCUGCAGGGCAGUGUCUUGAGUAAACGCCGGCGAUGGAGGGAGUUGUUAGGAGCAGGGCUGAAGGCUGCUUUGGGCCUGGCCCCUUUUUAACUGCAUGUCAAGCUCUACCUAACUUAGCCACCUAUAAGGGGAACACUUGGGCCAGGAGUUUGAGACCAGCAGGCAGCUCGGGGAGAGAAAGCACCUGUUUCAGCCCCAGUGGUGACACACAUCUGCUGGGAGGUGCCUGAGUCGCCUGCUGGGCAACACAGGCCCUGCCACCCCCUCUUCCUGUCCUGCCUGCCAGCACGGGGGAGGUGACAAACACAGCCAAGCUCCUGCAGCAGCCAGAGGCACCACCCCAGCCCAGUGUGGAGGCCCAGGGCACGAACCAGCUCGGGGCCCUGGCACCUCCUGCCACCUGCCCUUGGCCCAGGCGGCUCUGCACGCAGGACCUGCUUCCUGUUUGCCACCUUGCAAGUGAGCCUGGUGUUGGUCAGGGCCCAGCUGUGCCUGCAGGCACUUGUGGGUACUGCAGUUGCCGGGCAAUGCCUGGUUCCACUCGCUCCUGCAGCCCGCAGGCUUGGAUCCCGACACAAACCCUGGGCACAGUGGUCCUCACUGGGCUCUGCCUGUGCCAGGGAAGCCAUGCAUGUGGCGAGGACAGACACUUCCCUGGCAGGCACUGGGGACCUCGAGCCAACAAACUCUGGAGAUGGAAGGAGCCGGAGGACCAGCCAGACCCAGUGGGCCACAGUUGAGGCUCAACCCAGAAUCCCCUUGGGUCCCCUCAGCCUCAGUUUACCCAUCAGGAGGUGGAGCACUAGACCCUUCCUUUCCAGCAUUGCUGUGCGCACUGGAAAUCACACUUUUGCCUGCAGCAGUGGGCUGCUCUCAUCUCACACCUGGGGAAACUGAGGCUGGGGGAACAUCUGUCCUAGUAUUACAGCCACGGAGCCAAGAUUGGAACCCAGAACUAUUGCGUCCCCUCCUGAAACUUCAGUAGGCUUUUAAGCAUCUUUAAAGUGAUGUUUGCAGCUGAAAUUGUCUUAAUUUUUUUUUUUUGGUACCAGGGAUCGAACUCGGGUUCUUGCACUUGCACAGCAGGCGGCAAAUCCACUGGGCUAAAUCCCCGGCCCUAAAAUUGUCUUAAUUUUUACUGUGAGCAUUGUUCAGUUGGUAAAUUAGCUCUUAUGGAUUAAAGAUCUUACUUCAUUGA
Heterocephalus glaber (naked mole-rat) is the source of this 9062-nucleotide non-coding RNA. The record is from RefSeq and is a predicted model, not a curated record. Lineage: Eukaryota; Metazoa; Chordata; Mammalia; Rodentia; Bathyergidae.